GUUGAAACAUCGGUUCACGUACACUCACCGAAGUUAAGCAACGUCGAGCCUAGCCAGUACCAAAAUGGGCGACCGCUUGGGAAUACCGGUUGCUGAA
This is a non-coding RNA of Acanthosepion pharaonis, 97 nucleotides long. The record is from the annotation of a GenBank genome assembly. NCBI's taxonomy places the organism in Eukaryota, Metazoa, Mollusca, Cephalopoda, Sepiida, Sepiidae.